GGUAAAAAAGCUCGUAGUUGGAUUUCUGUUGAGGACGACCGGUCCAUACCACGUAUGCGCAUCUGGCUCGGCCUCGGCAUCCUCUCGAAAGACGUUUCUGCGCUUGAUUGCGUGGAGCGGAUCUCGGGACUUUUACUUUGAGGAAAUUAGAGUGUUCACGGCAGGCUAUCGCCAGAAUACAUUAGCAUGGAAUAAUACUAUAGGAUCUCGGUUCUAUUUUGUUGGUUUCUAGAAUUGAGAUAAUGAUUAAUAGGGACAAUUGGGGGCAUUAGUAUCAACACGUCAGAGGUGGAAUUCUUGGAUUGUGUUGCGACUAACUACUGCGAAAGCAUUUGCCAAGGAUGUUUUCAUUGAUCAAGAACGAAAGUAAGGGGAUCGAAGACGAUUAGAUACCGUCGUAGUCUUUACCAUAAACUAUGCCAACUAGAGAUGGGACAUCGUUCACUUACGACUUGUUCCGCACCUUAUGAGAUAUCAAAGUCUUUGGGUUCCGGGGGGAGUAUGGUCGCAAGGCUGAAACUUAAAGGAAUUGACGGAAGGGCACCACCAGGAGUGGAGCCUGCGGCUUAAUUUGACCCAACACGGGGAAACUCACCAGGUCCAGACAUAAUAAGGAUUGACAGAUUGAUAGCUCUUUCUUGAUUUUAUGGGUGGUGGUGCAUGGCCGUUCUUAGUUCGUGGAGUGAUUUGUCUGCUUAAUUGCGUUAACGAA
Molecule: ribosomal RNA, 712 nt
Filed under: uncultured marine alveolate
Lineage: Eukaryota
Description: SSU rRNA
Rfam family: Eukaryotic small subunit ribosomal RNA
Source: RNAcentral